AGAGAAGAGACAUUGCUUAGAAGCCAGACAAGCUGGGUUCUGUUUCCAGUUCUGCAACUGCUAUACUGCAUAAUCCUGGAUGAGGUGAAGUGGAGAAAUAAGGGAAAAGCAUCAUGGCAACAGGCACGUUGGCAGGUAGACUUCAGCAGGAAAGGUCACAUGUAAGAUCUGCCUGGCAAUUCUGAG
Molecule: long non-coding RNA, 186 nt
Organism: Mauremys reevesii (Reeves's turtle)
Lineage: Eukaryota; Metazoa; Chordata; Testudines; Geoemydidae
Exons: 3
Source: RefSeq, a predicted model, not a curated record